UGAAGCCUAUAUUAACAUCCAAGAAUUGGAAGAACAACAAACAUGUUGAUGAUGAUGAAGAGGAACAAGAGAUUGCAACAACUCCAACAUAUGAGGAAUCAAAGUUAUCAAGAAAGUAUGUAACAUGUCCACCACCUCCUAAGAAGAGAAAAACAUCAUCAAGGUGUAAUCAUCAUGACUAUAGUAGUAGUAACAAUAAUAAUAGGGAAUUCUUUCAUCCACCAUUAGACUUGGA
RNAcentral lists this unclassified non-coding RNA (235 nucleotides) under Hevea brasiliensis (rubber tree). Lineage: Eukaryota; Viridiplantae; Streptophyta; Magnoliopsida; Malpighiales; Euphorbiaceae. The record is from RNAcentral.